Molecule: small RNA, 30 nt
Filed under: Bombyx mori (domestic silkworm)
Lineage: Eukaryota; Metazoa; Arthropoda; Insecta; Lepidoptera; Bombycidae
Description: ovarian small RNA-26108
Source: RNAcentral
UCAUCGGAGAGGGCGCACACGCGCAGCACC